RNAcentral lists this ribosomal RNA (253 nucleotides) under uncultured bacterium. RNAcentral describes it as "partial 16S ribosomal RNA". It matches the Rfam family "Bacterial small subunit ribosomal RNA", at positions 524 to 776 of the family's 1533-position model. The record is from RNAcentral.
UACGGGGGGGGCAAGCGUUGUUCGGAAUUACUGGGCGUAAAGGGCGCGUAGGCGGCCUUCUAAGUCGAACGUGAAAUCCCUGGGCUCAACCCAGGAACUGCGUCCGAUACUGGAAGGCUUGAAUCCGGGAGAGGGAUGCGGAAUUCCAGGUGUAGCGGUGAAAUGCGUAGAUAUCUGGAGGAAUACCGGUGGCGAAGGCGGCAUCCUGGACCGGCAUUGACGCUGAGGAGCGAAAGCUAGGGGAGCAAACGGG